AUACGGAGGGUGCAAGCGUUAUCCGGAUUCAUUGGGUUUAAAGGGUGCGCAGGCGGAAUGAUAAGUCAGUGGUGAAAUCCUACAGCUUAACUGUAGAACUGCCAUUGAUACUGUCAUUCUUGAGUACACUUGAAGUGGGCGGAAUGUAUCAUGUAGCGGUGAAAUGCAUAGAUAUGAUACAGAACUCCGAUAGCGAAGGCAGCUCACUAAAUUGUAACUGACGCUCAGGCACGAAAGCGUGGGGAGCAAACAGGAUUAGAAACCCCAGUAGUCC
Molecule: ribosomal RNA, 274 nt
Filed under: uncultured bacterium
Lineage: Bacteria
Description: partial 16S ribosomal RNA
Rfam family: Bacterial small subunit ribosomal RNA
Source: RNAcentral